GACGAACGCUGGCGGCGUGCUUAACACAUGCAAGUCGAACGAUGAAGCCGGAGCUUGCUCCGGUGGAUUAGUGGCGAACGGGUGAGUAACACGUGAGCAAUCUGCCCUUGACUCUGGGAUAACUGCGGGAAACUGUAGCUAAUACCGGAUACGACACCUUGGGGCAUCCCAGGGUGUGGAAAGAAUUUCGGUCAAGGAUGAGCUCGCGGCCUAUCAGCUAGUUGGUGAGGUAAUGGCUCACCAAGGCGACGACGGGUAGCCGGCCUGAGAGGGUGACCGGCCACACUGGAACUGAGAAACGGUCCAGACGCCGACGGGAGGCAGCAGUGGGGAAUAUUGCACAAUGGGCGAAAGCCUGAUGCAGCAACGCCGCGUGAGGGAUGAAGGCCUUCGGGUUGUAAACCUCUUUUAGCAGGGAAGAAGCGAAAGUGACGGUACCUGCAGAAAAAGCACCGGCUAACUACGUGCCAGCAGCCGCCGUAA
RNAcentral lists this ribosomal RNA (483 nucleotides) under uncultured bacterium. Its description in RNAcentral is "partial 16S ribosomal RNA". It matches the Rfam family "Bacterial small subunit ribosomal RNA", at positions 28 to 523 of the family's 1533-position model. The record is from RNAcentral.